GUUGAUUUCAGGUGCACUCCCUGUUUGACAUCCUGCAUGCUAAGCUCUGUCUCAUAGUCUGCUUACCAGGGAAUCCUACCUGAGAAGGUGUCAGGGGUGGUACUGAGAAAACAGAUGCUUGAAUUUUGGAAGAGAAACACCUGCCAACUGACAGGCACUGAGGACUCCAACACUGAUGGAAUGUGACCCAAAACGAAACCACAUUUUCCAGCCUCCUCUGAAGUUGGUUGAAGCCAUAUGACUGAGUUAUGGCCAAUAGAAUGUGAGCAGAUAUGAUGUAAGAUCCAAGAACAGAACUACCUGACUCCCACAUUAAAAUCCUCUUGAGAAAUUCUCCUGCUGAGCUUGUCUCCCAGCCACGUCUAUACAUGUGCCUCUGUGGAUAGUACAUUAAUACCACUCACAGUAGAAGGUAUUGUUCUUUAUAGUUAGUCAAAUUAAUUAUUUGAACACCCCAGGAUGUACAACAUGAAAGAACAGGUUUAUAGAUAUUCAGGGCACUAUAUAAUAUGCCACGGUGAAUUAUUGACUCUAAUGAGAACAUCUUUAAAAGACUGAACUCCCAGGGGUGCAGGCUGAAGAAUUGGGAGGAGGGGCUCAUACGUUAAAUCAAUAAUUAGGAAGAAAGGAGGAAGAGAGACAG
Mirounga angustirostris (Northern elephant seal) is the source of this 643-nucleotide long non-coding RNA. RefSeq lists it as uncharacterized. NCBI's taxonomy places the organism in Eukaryota, Metazoa, Chordata, Mammalia, Carnivora, Phocidae. The transcript is spliced from 3 exons. The record is from RefSeq and is a predicted model, not a curated record.